This 73-nucleotide ribosomal RNA is filed under the name Paenibacillus sp. XY044. RNAcentral's name for it is "partial 16S ribosomal RNA". It matches the Rfam family "Bacterial small subunit ribosomal RNA", at positions 1 to 72 of the family's 1533-position model. Lineage: Bacteria; Bacillati; Bacillota; Bacilli; Caryophanales; Paenibacillaceae. The record is from RNAcentral.
UUUCUUGGAGAGUUUGAUCCUGGCUCAGGACGAACGCUGGCGGCGUGCCUAAUACAUGCAAGUCGAGCGGACU